GCCUUCGUGGUGUAAUGGUUAGCACACUGAGCCGGUAUUUCAGAGGUCCGUGGUUCGAUUCCCGGCGAAGGCA
RNAcentral lists this transfer RNA (73 nucleotides) under Stegodyphus mimosarum. It matches the Rfam family "tRNA". From Rfam's summary of the family: Transfer RNA (tRNA) molecules are approximately 80 nucleotides in length. Their secondary structure includes four short double-helical elements and three loops (D, anti-codon, and T loops). Further hydrogen bonds mediate the characteristic L-shaped molecular structure. tRNAs have two regions of fundamental functional importance: the anti-codon, which is responsible for specific mRNA codon recognition, and the 3' end, to which the tRNAs corresponding amino acid is attached (by aminoacyl-tRNA synthetases). tRNAs cope with the degeneracy of the genetic code in two manners: having more than one tRNA (with a specific anti-codon) for a particular amino acid; and 'wobble' base-pairing, i.e. permitting non-standard base-pairing at the 3rd anti-codon position. The record is from Rfam by way of RNAcentral. Lineage: Eukaryota; Metazoa; Arthropoda; Arachnida; Araneae; Eresidae.